This is a transfer RNA of Saitoella complicata NRRL Y-17804, 72 nucleotides long. It matches the Rfam family "tRNA". Rfam says of the family: Transfer RNA (tRNA) molecules are approximately 80 nucleotides in length. Their secondary structure includes four short double-helical elements and three loops (D, anti-codon, and T loops). Further hydrogen bonds mediate the characteristic L-shaped molecular structure. tRNAs have two regions of fundamental functional importance: the anti-codon, which is responsible for specific mRNA codon recognition, and the 3' end, to which the tRNAs corresponding amino acid is attached (by aminoacyl-tRNA synthetases). tRNAs cope with the degeneracy of the genetic code in two manners: having more than one tRNA (with a specific anti-codon) for a particular amino acid; and 'wobble' base-pairing, i.e. permitting non-standard base-pairing at the 3rd anti-codon position. Lineage: Eukaryota; Fungi; Ascomycota; Saitoellomycetes; Saitoellales; Saitoellaceae. The record is from Rfam.
GCGACGAUGGUGUAGUGGUAUCAUACCUGCUUUGGGUGCAGGUGGUCGUCAGUUCAAUCCUGGCUCGUCGCC